Molecule: non-coding RNA, 23 nt
Filed under: Cricetulus griseus (Chinese hamster)
Lineage: Eukaryota; Metazoa; Chordata; Mammalia; Rodentia; Cricetidae
Source: RNAcentral
AGGCUAUUCUCGAACUCCAGAUC